UACGUAGGUGGCAAGCGUUAUCCGGAUUUAUUGGGUGUAAAGGGCGUGUAGGCGGGAGCGCAAGUCAGAUGUGAGAACUCAGGGCUCAACCCUGAGCCUGCAUUUGAAACUGUGUUUCUUGAGUGCUGGAGAGGCAAUCGGAAUUCCGUGUGUAGCGGUGAAAUGCGUAGAUAUACGGAGGAACACCAGUGGCGAAGGCGGAUUGCUGGACAGUAACUGACGCUGAGGCGCGAAAGCGUGGGGAGCAAACAGG
Molecule: ribosomal RNA, 253 nt
Filed under: uncultured bacterium
Lineage: Bacteria
Description: partial 16S ribosomal RNA
Rfam family: Bacterial small subunit ribosomal RNA
Source: RNAcentral